RNAcentral lists this ribosomal RNA (434 nucleotides) under uncultured bacterium. RNAcentral's name for it is "partial 16S ribosomal RNA". It matches the Rfam family "Bacterial small subunit ribosomal RNA", at positions 29 to 507 of the family's 1533-position model. The record is from RNAcentral.
AGCGAACGCUGGCGGCAGGCCUAACACAUGCAAGUCGAACGAACCGGCCGGGGUUAGUGGCGGACGGGGGAGGAACACGGGGGAACGUGCCUGUGGGUUCGGAAUAACUCAGGGAAACUUGUGCUAAUACCGAAGGGGCCCUUCCGGGGAAAGAUUCAUCGCCUUUAGAGCGGCCCGGGUCUGUUUAGCUAGUUGGGUGAGGUAUUGGCUCACCAAGGCGACGUGGAGGAGCUGGUGUGGUAGGAUGAUCAGCCACAUUGGGACUGCGACACGGCCCAAACUCCUACGCGAGGCAGCGGUGGAGAACCUUGCGCGAUGAACGCAAGCAUGACGCCGCCGUGCCGCGUGAAUGAUGAAUGUCUUAGGAUUCUAAAAUUCUUUGACCGGGGACGAUAAUGACGGUACCCGGAAAAGAAGCCCCGGCUAACUUCGUG